AUACGGAGGAUGCGAGCGUUAUCCGGAUUCAUUGGGUUUAAAGGGUGCGUAGGCUGUUUUUCAAGUCAGAGGUGAAAGCCCGGGGCUUAACUCCGGAACUGCCUUUGAUACUGGGAGGCUUGAAUGCUGUUGCCGUGGGAGGAAUGAGUAGUGUAGCGGUGAAAUGCAUAGAUAUGACGAAGAACACCGAUUGCGUAGGCAGCUGACCAGACCGCAAAUGACGCUCAUGCACGAAAGUGCGGGGAUCGAACAGGAUUAGAUACCCUGGUAGUCCGCACAGUAAACGAUGAAUACUUGUUUUCGGCGAUAUAAUGUCGGAGGCAAAGCGAAAGCGAUAAGUAUUCCACCUGGGGAGUACGCCGGCAACGGUGAAACUCAAAUGAAUUGACGGGG
RNAcentral lists this ribosomal RNA (393 nucleotides) under uncultured bacterium. RNAcentral describes it as "partial 16S ribosomal RNA". It matches the Rfam family "Bacterial small subunit ribosomal RNA", at positions 523 to 918 of the family's 1533-position model. The record is from RNAcentral.